Aedes aegypti (yellow fever mosquito) is the source of this 595-nucleotide long non-coding RNA. RefSeq lists it as uncharacterized. The transcript is spliced from 2 exons. NCBI's taxonomy places the organism in Eukaryota, Metazoa, Arthropoda, Insecta, Diptera, Culicidae. The record is from RefSeq and is a predicted model, not a curated record.
UACACUGAACAAAAGCUCCUGCCUUAAAUUGAAUGAUUAGUAAUUCACAUGGCUGCAAAUCUUCAUAUUCCUCUUUUCGAAUGAUUAUUAAACAAUAUGAUGCAUCCGCAGACUGUUGAACAAAAAUCAUCCAUUUUUAUGAUGACUUUCAGUAUAUAUCCGUAUGACAAUGUGUUGAUAGUUGAACUUCAACAACACAAAUGAAUAACAUGCAAUUUAUGAUGGAUUUUCAUUUCUGCCAUAUCCCAAAUCGAAAAUCAUUCAGUUAUAGUUUAAAACUUCAUUUGGAAAGCAAAUGAUCCUAGAAUUGAAAUCAUCCUUGUCAAUCAAAACAAAAACAUUGCGGCAGCAGCGGGACUUAGCAUUUCUUCGCGGAUUUCGCAGGUGACCAAGAACAACUCAUCGCCUAUAUCCAGCGACUUUGGUGUGGGUAAUGCGGACACUUAAUGAUCGCUUCGAGCAGAUUUAUUACAGGCAGCUCAUUAGUGUGUUGAUUGUUAACAAGUGUAAUCCAUCCGCCCCGUUGCACAUAUUCCCACAGAUUUUUAUAUGUAUUGUCAUAAUAAUCAAAAUAAAAGAUGAUUUGUCGAUAUUA